CAGCCGCCGCGGUAAGACAGAGGAUGCAAGCGUUAUCCGGAAUGAUUGGGCGUAAAGCGUCUGUAGGUGGCUUUUCAAGUCCGCCGUCAAAUCCCAGGGCUCAACCCUGGACAGGCGGUGGAAACUACCAAGCUGGAGUACGGUAGGGGCAGAGGGAAUUUCCGGUGAAGCGGUGAAAUGCGUUGAGAUCGGAAAGGACACCAACGGCGAAAGCACUCUGCUGGGCCGACACUGACACUGAGAGACGAAAGCUAGGGGAGCAAAUGGGAUUAGAGACCCCAGUAGUCCCUGUCUCUUAUAA
Molecule: ribosomal RNA, 301 nt
Filed under: uncultured bacterium
Lineage: Bacteria
Description: partial 16S ribosomal RNA
Rfam family: Bacterial small subunit ribosomal RNA
Source: RNAcentral